Molecule: non-coding RNA, 73 nt
Organism: Potamilus streckersoni
Lineage: Eukaryota; Metazoa; Mollusca; Bivalvia; Unionida; Unionidae
Source: the annotation of a GenBank genome assembly
GCUCAGGUGGCCUAGUGGUUAGAGCGUCCGCCUCGGAUGCCGGAGGUUAUAGGUUCUAUCCCUUGUUGAAUCA